CUCCUCUUAGGUUCACAUCUGUAGAGUUUCCAGUAUUCUACCAGUCUCAAAUAUGGGAGGGAGAGUUAAGUAGAGGUCUGUCCAUUCCAUUCCUAGCUUGGGCAGUGGCUAGAGAGUGGAAGGCAAUCUGCUGCAAGU
Molecule: small nucleolar RNA, 138 nt
Organism: Tachyglossus aculeatus (Australian echidna)
Lineage: Eukaryota; Metazoa; Chordata; Mammalia; Monotremata; Tachyglossidae
Source: RefSeq, a predicted model, not a curated record